RNAcentral lists this ribosomal RNA (800 nucleotides) under uncultured archaeon. RNAcentral's name for it is "bacterial SSU rRNA". It matches the Rfam family "Archaeal small subunit ribosomal RNA", at positions 1 to 774 of the family's 1478-position model. The record is from RNAcentral.
CGGGAAUUCGAUUUUCCGGUUGAUCCUGCCGGACCCGACUGCUAUUUGGGUGAGGAUAAGCCAUGCGAGUUGAAUGGGAAACCUAAAGUUCCCAUGGCAAACUGCUCAGUAACACAUGAUCAACUUACCCUAUAGAGAAAAAUAACCUCGGGAAACUGAGGAUAAUGUUUCAUAGUUGAAUUGGCUUGGAAAAGUUUUUCGACGAAAGGGGUAAAAAAAAUGGUUUUUAUCUGCUAUAGGAUAGGAUCGUGUUCGAUUAUGGUUGUUGGUGAGGUAAUGGCUCACCAAGCCGAUAAUCGAUAGGGGCCGUGAGAGCGGGAGCCCCGAGAUGGGUACUGAGACAACGACCCAGGCCUUACGAGGCGCAGCAGGCGCGAAACCUCCGCAAUACACGAAAGUGUGACGGGGUUACCCAAAGUGUUCAAUUUUGAACUGUGGUAGGUGAGUAAUGUUCCCUACUAGAAAGGAGAGGGCAGGGCUGGUGCCAGCCGCCGCGGUAAAACCAGCUCUUCAAGUGGUCGGGAUAAUUAUUGGGCUUAAAGUGUCCGUAGCCGGUUUAGUAAGUUCCUGGUAAAAUUGGGUAGCUUAACUAUCUAUAUGCUAGGAAUACUACUAUACUAGAGGGCGGGAGAGGUCUGAGGUACUGCAGGGGUAGGGGUGAAAUCUUAUAAUCCUUGUUGGACCACCAGUGGCGAAGGCGUCAGACUGGAACGCGCCUGACGGUGAGGGACGAAAGCCAGGGGAGCGAACCGGAUUAGAUACCCGGGUAGUCCUGGCCGUAAACGAUGCAUACUAGGUGA